CGGAGGCGCUCAAAGGUUCUCUCAGUACGGUCGGAAAUCGUACGUAGAGUGUAAAGGCAAAAGAGAGCUUGAUUGCAAGACAUACAGGUCGAGCAAGGAUGAAAAGCGGACUUAGUGAUCCGGUGGUGCUGCGUGGAAGGGCCAUCGCUCAACGGAUAAAAGCUACCCUGGGGAUAACAGGCUUAUCUCCCCCAAGAGUCCACAUCGACGGGGAGGUUUGGCACCUCGAUGUC
Molecule: ribosomal RNA, 233 nt
Filed under: Clostridioides difficile
Lineage: Bacteria; Bacillati; Bacillota; Clostridia; Peptostreptococcales; Peptostreptococcaceae
Description: partial 23S ribosomal RNA
Rfam family: Bacterial large subunit ribosomal RNA
Source: RNAcentral